CCUACGGGUGGCUGCAGUGAGGAAUAUUGGUCAAUGGUCGCGAGCCUGAACCAGCCAAGUCGCGUGAGGGAGGACGGUCCUAUGUAUUGUAAACCUCUUUUGUCGGGGAACAAAGGCCGCGACGCGUGGCGUUCCGAGAGUACCCGAAGAAAAAGCAUCGGCUAACUCCGUGCCAGCAGCCGCGGUAAUACGGAGGAUGCGAGCGUUAUCCGGAUUUAUUGGGUUUAAAGGGUGCGCAGGCGGAAGAUCAAGUCAGCGGUAAAAGUGAGAGGCUCAACCUCUUCGAGCCGUUGAAACUGGUUGUCUUGAGUGAGCGAGAAGUAUGCGGAAUGCGUGGUGUAGCGGUGAAAUGCAGAGAUAUCACGCAGAACUCCGAUUGCGAAGGCAGCAUACCGGCGCUCAACUGACGCUCAUGCACGAAAGUGUGGGUAUCGAACAGGAUUAGAUACCCUAGUAGUC
This 459-nucleotide ribosomal RNA is filed under the name uncultured bacterium. Its description in RNAcentral is "partial 16S ribosomal RNA". It matches the Rfam family "Bacterial small subunit ribosomal RNA", at positions 338 to 795 of the family's 1533-position model. The record is from RNAcentral.